AAACUUUCAACAACGGAUCUCUUGGUUCUCGCACCGAUGAAGAACGCAGCGAAAUGCGAUACGUAAUGUGAAUUGCAGAAUUCCGUGAAUCAUCGAAUCUUUGAACGCACAUUGCGCCCCUUGGUAUUCCAGGGGCAUGCCUGUUUGAGCGUCAUUU
RNAcentral lists this ribosomal RNA (157 nucleotides) under Zygotorulaspora mrakii. Its description in RNAcentral is "5.8S ribosomal RNA". It matches the Rfam family "5.8S ribosomal RNA". From Rfam's summary of the family: 5.8S ribosomal RNA (5.8S rRNA) is a component of the large subunit of the eukaryotic ribosome. It is transcribed by RNA polymerase I as part of the 45S precursor that also contains 18S and 28S rRNA. Functionally, it is thought that 5.8S rRNA may be involved in ribosome translocation. The record is from RNAcentral. Lineage: Eukaryota; Fungi; Ascomycota; Saccharomycetes; Saccharomycetales; Saccharomycetaceae.